Long non-coding RNA from Micropterus dolomieu (smallmouth bass), 1626 nucleotides. RefSeq lists it as uncharacterized. Lineage: Eukaryota; Metazoa; Chordata; Actinopteri; Centrarchiformes; Centrarchidae. The transcript is spliced from 3 exons. The record is from RefSeq and is a predicted model, not a curated record.
CUUAUUGUGGUAAUCUUACACCUUUAAAACUUUAAAAAAAAGUGGAAACACAGACAGCAGACGAAGAGGUCCAAUCAGGUAUCCUGACCUGACCCGAUGUCGAGGUGUAUUUCAGUUUUAUCAACAGGAUCCACAAUGAAGUUGAUGUAAACGAACCUAAUCGGAUCAGAUAUGUGGAAAUUUAAACUUCACAUCAGGUUUAAUAGUUCAACGACCGUGUGUUUUUUAAUAGUAAGAACUAUAACAGAAUAUGAUUAUUUAUCCAGCGCGUUGGAUGUGACAGGUACUGAGAGGAGGCAAGAGUGGAUGUCAUGGUCCAAUCAGGGAGAUACCCACAGCUGCUGGCUGUAAUCAUGGGAGUGAAGCAGCACAGUGCAAUUUGCCUAGGAGAGCUGAACUGACAGUAUUCAAUUUAAAAAAGGUAUAAAAUCAGCACCCUGGUCCCCUUUUUUAUGCUUCACUGAACAAGUUGAACUCUUGCGCCAACAAAGUCCAAAUCCCCAGCCUCUGGGUGGGAGUACAUGUGCACAAAAGGAAGAUGAGGGGGGUUGUGUGCAGUGUUGACUACAACCCUGUGGAGAAAAUGAAUGUCUAUACCAAAGUAAUACAUAAUAUACAUAAUACAUCCAACCUCUGCUGAGAUAUUUCUCUCUUGACCAAAGAGGCGGACUGUUGACUGACCAUAAGCAAUGGUGCCAUGCUUAGUACUGCUGAAAACAAUGGAGACUAUUGGGCUAAAUGUAACCAAGCAGAAAUUCAACCAGAAAGACAACAAGCUGCCAAACAACAACAGUUACGCAGCGCCUCCAUCUGGUAAAGAAUGUGUGUGAAUGGAGGAAGCGUUUUGACGAGUCCGGGUCGCGCUAGCAGCAGGCUCAAUAAAGCAUCCCAGACGUUCAUCUCUCCAGACGUCUCCCAGUUCCUCCUGGGGAUCCCGAGGCGAUCCCAGUCCAGAUGGGAUAUCUAAUCUCCCCCCCCCCCUAGAGUGUCCAGGGUCUGUUCCCAGUCUCCUCCCAGUUGGACGUGUCCAGAAAAACCUCCACAGGGAGAAGUUCUGAUCAGAUGGCCAAAACCCUCGACUCAAAAAAAUAAUUUCUUUCAACAUGAGGGAGCAACGGUUUUACAGUGCAGCUUUUAUUUAUCUGACUUUAAUUUAUGUUGAAAGUUCAUUCUUAACUUCACUUUCCAAUCUUAUCUUCCUGCUUCAUGAUGUUUGUUUGGUGAUCUCCAGUAUUCUGCGUUUCUGAUGACAGCUAACAUGUGUGUGCGCCAUGUGGACUCCACUCCAACUAAAUCCUCUUUACUGCUACUAUCAGGAAGGUAAAUCUGCUCCAGUCAUCUUGCAUUUGUAAAGGUUGACUGUUUGAUUUUAUUCAUGCAGGUUUGUUUUCCAUCUAACUGACAGGGGUGGGGGGGAAUUAAAAUCUCUGGCAAAAUGGCCAAAGCUGAUAAAUCCAGAUAAUCUCUUCAGUCCACAGAUCUUCAGCUGCAGCCUGAGUCUGCCACACGCUGUAAAAAAGAUUUUGGUCUAAUAUUUAACCAUUAAGGGUUUUUGUUAUUUGUUAUUUCAUUUUAUAUAACUGAUCUCUGAGGACUGUUUGUGCAAAAAAAAAAAAAAAAAGACAA